UCCCGAUGGCCCGACAUGGAAUAGACCUCGGCAAAAUGAGUGGCGUCAUUGGUUUCUAACAAAUAUCCGCAAAAAUAAGAUAGAGGACGCCGAGUGUAAGUCAGAGUAUAUUGGACCAUUAGCCGGACAAGGAAACCGGCUUCAUUGAUGUAUUUUUAUGGUUUUCCAACAGCCUCCUGUUGGUGACAUAUCAUUUUUAGGGCUGAAUCUUGGUACGAGGCCUGUGAAUAGACUUCGAGGAUAUUUCUCCUCUCAAAAGUAUUGCAAGAAGUACAAUUUGACUUUGAAAGCUAUAAACUAUUUUAAAGUCGAUUGGGGAACGGAUCCAGCGGUCGGAAUACCAACGCCUGAAAUACCACAAAAAGUAUUGAAUGAAACCGAUGAUAACUUCGCUCUUACCUAGUCCAGUCAAUAGAGCACAUAUAGGGGCUAAGUAGAGACAAUUUCUGAGGAAACUUUCUGAUAUACUAUUCCUAUGUAUUUUUCAUCGCUGAAUCCGAAUUUCAUAUUUGCGAACAUAUCUGAGGCGAGCCGAAGCCUCCAUCUUAAAAAAAUGGUCGAAAUUAGCGUUUUUCGGCCAAAAAACCGAAAUAACUCGUAUAUUAUGGCAAUUACGGCAGCAGUAGUACCUUUUAAAUUAAAGUACAUAAAAUUUCCAUUAAAACGAGUCCAAGAUGGUUAAGAUUGGAUGAUAGCAAAUGCCGUUACAGCGUUGCAAAGUUUCAGGCAAUUAUUGAAGUUAGGCAAUUUUCGUAACUCUCCCUGCAAAAAGAGAGCUUUCAAGGCAAUUAAUCAUUAAAUCGUAGUAAGUGUAAGUACAUACAUACAUUCCAGUCGCUUUACAGCGCGCCCGGGCGCUCUGCGACACCUAAUCGCCAUCCUUGCCUAUCGAUCCAGAGGUCAUCUGGUAAAUGGGUAAGUGGGUAAGUGUAAGUAUGAAUGAUAAAAGGAGUGCAAUUUUGAUUUCUUUACCUUCAAGAACGGCAGUGGAUAAGAGGGGGGGGGGUCCGUAUAAGCGCAGCUGCAGGGUCCUUCGUUCCUCCCCUAUUUUCAUGGCCCGGGUGCGGCCGGUCGGCUUUCGUUCUCCGGGUUAGAAGUUCAAUUUGAUUUGUAAACGAUGUUGUUCCAAUGUUUCCUCUCUUAUUAUUUCGGCGCAUAACUGUUAAUAACACAUCUGAUGAGGAACUUCAACAUUUUUUGUCGAUCUCUCACCCUUUACCCUUUUGAUGACCUUAGCAGACGGCAUGCGUAUUCCACAUUUUAUGGUAUGUUUUUUUACAUUUACACCGUGUGUAGAUAAAAUUGAUGACAAGAAUCCUACUUAUGUCAUAAAUGUUCGUUUUUUGCUCCAUCGAGUGAUUUGGAGACAAAAUGAGGCAUUUUCAGCUAGAUGCAACAACCGUGUGUAUUCCGCUAAUUCUGUGAUCGUUUUCGGCGGCUAUCCCGAGGAUAUUACAAAAUGCAGCACGAAAACACCUGGAAGAUGACGAAGAUGACAAGCUUCAUCAUUGGAAAUAAAAUUCCAUGAAAGUAUGGUCCCAGUAACAUCACAAGCAAAUUUUCUGAAAAACGGCAAAAACAAAUCCUGUUUGAUCCAAAGGCUCAUGAAACGUUUCAGGGCUGAAACCAUGUCUGUAUUUCAAUCAAAGUUUCAAAGACCUUAGAAAUGGCAAAACAGGGCGAAAUUGCUGUCAUUGUAGAAAAAGAUAUUGACCUCCUUGUCCCCCUUACAGCUCAGUCAAGUAACGUCAAAAAUGCUUUCCCUCUAAAAUCAGGAAAAGGUGAGACUCCUUAAAUACUUUUCAACCGAGGCAGCCUUCAAAAUUGAGUGAAAGCCGAACACAUACUGUUCAUUCAUGCUAUUAGUGGGUGUGACACGACAUCAUCACUCGACAUCAUCACUCCUCAGGCAAGUCAAAGUUAAAUUUUUAGCAAACCCUGAAGAAAAACUCAGCUUUAAUAAGUGAACCAGCAGCUCAGAUGCUUAAAAAAUCAGCCUCAAAGCAAGAAGAAAUUUCUUAAGCAGGAAAAUACUUUUUUUUUUCAGGAAAUUUCAGGAAAUUUACUCAAGCUACAUGGCUUCAAGGGUGAGCAGAAAAAACUUUGGCUGAAUUUGGGUAUGAAAGCUAUGUCCCGACUUUUUUCCACAAUGUACAAAAUCUCGCUUGUCUUCCACCUUCAGAGGACGCUGCCACAUUUCAUGCUACUAUCCUCAAGCACAUAGCAAUGGAUGAGCAUCAAGAAAAACGCGUGUGACUGGGGGUGGAAGAAUAGCAGAGAUGGCCUCAUCCCCAUCAUUACAUUGAAUAAUCCCGCUACGGGCGAAAUUUUAAGCAAGAUCUCAUACAAGUACAUUGAAGAAAGUCGCGGCGCCCGCGGUUUUUGGAAGAAAUGCUUUCAGCGCAGUCUUGUUUGCGGGUAUUGCCAUGGCUCGUGCGAAAAUAGUCAAUAAGACGCACUUUCAAUGGAAGAAGAAGGAGAUGACGUAGAUGAUCCAGAAGACACUGAAUGUUUGGACAAUGACUAUGAAAUGCAGAGAAGUGAAGAGAUUGACGAGUGGAUGGAACAAGAGGCAGUGGGGCGCAGAGGGAGCCAUGACACGGUGUAAGUGCAUUAUAAAAUGUGGACAUUGUAACUUUACUCAUGGCAUCUGCUGCGGUAAAUAGCGAGAGUGGAUAGGGUGCAUGGAAGUUCGUGCGACUAAAAUUUUUGAAGCUCCUCAUCUGAUUUUAUAAUAAUAAGUAUGCGCCGAAAUAAUAAGAGCGGGUUUAUUGGAACAACAUCUUUUUCAACUCGAAUUAAACUCCUCAUACUGCUGAUUGGAUUACAGCGCAGCGGUCGGUGCGCUUAAACUUAACGGACUCAAAAGUUUGACCUACUAUAUUUUUGGCAUAAGCUAGCAGUGCCUGUCUCUUUGGCUUGGUGGCAGCUAAUGUUGUCAUCAGCGAAUAUACCUUUACGUAGGCACAUCAAGUUUAUGUCCUCCGGAAAAGGCGCCUGUG
Bemisia tabaci is the source of this 3002-nucleotide non-coding RNA. Lineage: Eukaryota; Metazoa; Arthropoda; Insecta; Hemiptera; Aleyrodidae. The record is from RefSeq and is a predicted model, not a curated record.